Molecule: ribosomal RNA, 430 nt
Filed under: Eutropis macularia (bronze grass skink)
Lineage: Eukaryota; Metazoa; Chordata; Lepidosauria; Squamata; Scincidae
Description: partial 16S ribosomal RNA
Rfam family: Bacterial large subunit ribosomal RNA
Source: RNAcentral
GUAAUCACUUGUCUUCUAAAUAAAGACCUGUAUGAACGGCUAAAUGAGGACAAACCUGUCUCUUAUAACCAAUCAGUGAAAUUGAUCUACCAGUACAAAAGCUGGUAUAAUAACAUAAGACGAGAAGACCCUGUGGAGCUUAAGACAAGAUACUACACACCCGACCAUAGUUUAUGAGUCUUCAGUUGGGGCGACUUCGGAAUAAAACAAAACUUCCGAGCAGAGAUCCACACCCUCUUACCAAGGCAAACAAGCCGAAAGAAGAACUGACCCGGCCCUGCCGAUCAGCGAACCAAGUUACCCCAGGGAUAACAGCGCUAUCUUCUUUGAGAGUCCCUAUCGACAAGAAGGUUUACGACCUCGAUGUUGGAUCAGGACACCCAGGUGGUGCAGCCGCUACCAAAGGUUCGUUUGUUCAACGAUUAACAGU